This 253-nucleotide ribosomal RNA is filed under the name uncultured bacterium. Its description in RNAcentral is "partial 16S ribosomal RNA". It matches the Rfam family "Bacterial small subunit ribosomal RNA", at positions 524 to 776 of the family's 1533-position model. The record is from RNAcentral.
GACAGAGGGUGCAAACGUUGUUCGGAAUUACUGGGCGUAAAGCGCGUGUAGGCGGUCAGGCAAGUCGGAUGUGAAAUCCCGUGGCUCAACUACGGAAGUGCACCCGAAACUGCUUGACUUGAGUCCCGGAGAGGAAGGCGGAAUGCUUGGUGUAGAGGUGAAAUUCGUAGAUAUCAAGCGGAACACCGGUGGCGAAAGCGGCUCACUGGAUCUCUUCUGACGCUGAGGCACGAAAGCUAGGGGAGCGAACGGG